UGAGCAAUGGAUAGGACAAUAAAUUACAGGGGGUCCGACUGGAUGCAGGGAGUGAGGUUAGGGGAUGUGCAGAUUCGAGGCUAGAGAUGGAGCCUGGGAGAACUGGGACAAUGACAGAAGGACCAAGAGUAGGGGUUGGAAGUGAAGAACAUUUCAGAGGCUUGUGGCUGUGAGAGGUGAGACCGGGUAUCUGUACUGCAAGACCCUCCUCUGAUCUAAGCCUCCAGGAAUCUCUGAAUCCUCUGAGUCACAAGUGUGAAAUCUCCAGCCGGAAUCCGCCAGAUAUCAACACCAGAGAAGACACUGGUUUGAGACUGAGGCAGCCUUUUUUGGGGCUGGGGAAGUCUCUUGGAGGAAAAGGAAGAUUGAGUACGCUGGGUUGUGUUCUUUGAUUCCAGGUGCCAGUCCGAGGGCCCUGCCGCACCUCUGGGAGUGGUUGGAGCCACUCUCAGAAGUCGCAGCAGUGUUGGGCAUCACGGAGGGGACGUGUCACAGGGUGGCAGAAUGGUGACAGCGGUGUGUGUGCCGUGUCAUCUUUCUCAAAGGUGCCGUGCGGAACCGGUCCUUUGUCAUACAGCAGGGCCCUCGUGGGAGCCGGAUUCCGAGACUUCAGGACAGACGGCCUCUCUGGUUGGCUUUCCAAGCGCCAGACCUGGAGAAUGACCUCAGGUCCCUGGAGAAGGCUUUGUUCUUUUCCCCCUCCCCCCAGCCUUUGUUCUUGGCAGAGCUAAUUAGGCUCAGUGGUUAAUUAACAGGUCCCAAAGCGAGGGAGAACAAUGGCAAAAGCCCUGGUGGCUUUGUCCCCCUGACUCCCCUCUUCCAGGAGGUGGGUCAUCCGGGCUGCUUUGAUGGGACUAGCUGGCCUGUUGGAAAAGUCCACCUGGGAAGGGCCUGCGGGCAGCCCCAGCUAACAGCCCGUGAGGAGCCGAGUCCCUUGAGAACGCUAGUGCCACCAACGGCCACCGCAGUGAGCCUGGCUGCAGUUCCUUUUCCACUGUAGCUCCCGCAGGAGAGCCCUGGCCAACAUCCCCACUGCAGUCUUACGAGAGACCAGGAAGCAGAGACCCCGCCUCGGCCAGGCUUGGUUUCCGACCAACAGAAACUGUAAGAUAGGAAACGUGUGUGGAUUAAGCCACUGAGAUUUGGCGUAAUGUGUUCACACUGCAGGAGUCGUUAAUAGCACACCCUAGAUUAACUGAUUUCACGCGUGCAUCAUUUCUCAGAGAGGUUAAGUAACUCCUGCCAGAUCACACAGCUACCGAUUCAUAGACUAGAUAUUUGAACUCACAUCAGAGGUGCUUCUCAGAAGAGGAUCAGGAUCCAGGAUCCUACACAGUCUGCUAAGACUUCUGGGCUUCAGUUUGCUGGAAUGAUCCCCUUGCUUUCAUUGUCUGAUGUGAGGGAGAAGUUAACCACCUGGUUAAGAAGGUAGUUAAGCAGGUGGUUAAGAAGAAGUUAACCACCUGGUUAAGAGGUUAAGAAGUUAACCUCGCUGACCACCAGGUUUUUGCCAGAGACUUUGCAUGUACUUUCACAUCCAACUUUCCCAAGAUGAGGUGGGCAUCACUGUACCCAUGUAUUGGAUUUUCUAUGGUGGGUUUUCCAGAUACUGAUCAAGCUGCUCUGUAAAAAAAAUAUUCUAUUGCUCAAUAUUUUUGGGAAACACUGAACUCUUGGA
Molecule: long non-coding RNA, 1678 nt
Organism: Microcebus murinus (gray mouse lemur)
Lineage: Eukaryota; Metazoa; Chordata; Mammalia; Primates; Cheirogaleidae
Source: RefSeq, a predicted model, not a curated record